UACGUAGGUGGCAAGCGUUGUCCGGAUUUAUUGGGCGUAAAGCGCGCGCAGGUGGUUUCUUAAGUCUGAUGUGAAAGCCCCCGGCUCAACCGGGGAGGGUCAUUGGAAACUGGGAGACUUGAGUGCAGAAGAGGGCGAUGGAAUUCCAUGUGUAGCGGUAAAAUGCGUAGAUAUAUGGAGGAACACCAGUGGCGAAGGCGGUCGCCUGGUCUGUAACUGACACUGAUGCACGAAAGCGUGGGGAGCGAACAGG
Molecule: ribosomal RNA, 253 nt
Filed under: uncultured bacterium
Lineage: Bacteria
Description: partial 16S ribosomal RNA
Rfam family: Bacterial small subunit ribosomal RNA
Source: RNAcentral